This 1203-nucleotide long non-coding RNA is filed under the name Macaca mulatta (Rhesus monkey). RNAcentral describes it as "lncRNA (ENSMMUG00000054499.1)". Lineage: Eukaryota; Metazoa; Chordata; Mammalia; Primates; Cercopithecidae. The record is from RNAcentral.
GGUCUCUGCCCUGGGUCUAACUGGAAAACACUCUCCAGGUUCCCCUGAGCAUCCUCAGGACUUUUAUCCUGUUGACCACGAAAUAAUUAUUUCUGCCCCCAAAAUGACACUGUGGGUUCUGUGGAGGUGAGGAUGUGUCCUACUGUAAAAAACAAAACAAACAAAACAAAAAAACAGAAACAAAAAGGAAGAAGAGAAGUUUUGCAUUCAGAGACAUGAAAUGUUAGUACAGAUCUGGAGACGUUCCCUGGGGAAAUUUGACAAUGAGGCAGCCGCAGACCAUGACAGGAAGCCAGGCCUUAGCAGCACCGGCUCCGGCCCGGAGACAGCCCCGAGCUCAGUGUCCGGGCGCCCCCUGGUGGUCACGGGGACCCCUGCGGGGGGGGUUUGUGUCCCGGGCGCCCCCUGGUGGCCCCGCGCGCCCCUGCAGGGAGGUUUGUGUCUGGGCUCACACUGACCUCCCCUCACUGUGUCUCUAGCACAGUAAUACACGGCCGUGUCCUCGGUUUUCAGGCUGUUCAUUUGCAGAUACGCCGUGUUCUUUGAAUCAUCUCUGGAGAUGGUGAAUCUGCCUUUCACCGAUGCGGCGUAUUCUGUCGCGUAAUUGUUAGAUUUGCUUCUGAUACGUCCAACCCACUCCAGUCCUUUCCCAGAAGCCUGGCGGACCCGGUGCAUAGCAGAACUACUGAAGGUGAAUCCAGAGGCUGCACAGGAGGGUCUCAGGGACCCGCCAGGCUGGACCAAGCCUCCCCCAGACUCCACCAGCUGCACCUCACACUGGGCACCUGCAAACACAGAGACACCCUGGUCAGAAACUGCCACACAUAUCCACUGUUUCUCUCACUCAUGUCCCCUCACACUCCACAUCUCUAUUUCUCCAUGAAUCACCUUUUAAAAUGGCAACAAGGAAAACCCAGCUCAGUACAAACUCCAUGGUGAGUCUCCUGUGUUCAGUGUCGAUCACCAAGUGGAGACAGCUGGGAAUCCCAAGGCUGGGUCUCCUCUCCCAGAGCUGCAGGGUCAGGGCUGGGCUGUUUUUCAUCACCUAAAAGGGGGGUCUUAUUUGCAUGUCUCCUACUAUAUAGCAAGCUCCUCGGGGGUGGGACGCCUCAGGAGAGGGCUGUGCACAGAGUAGAUGAGGGUGUCCUGGGGGAGAUUGGUAGUGAUCCUAUCAUUCAGGAAAAUAUAAUUUCAUAUUAUGUG